AUUUCUGGUAACAAUAACUUGAAAAAAUAAAACUACUGACUAUUUUGGGAUAAUGAAACCACUAAGGAAUGUUUUUCAUUAAAACUUUUAUUUUUUAAUGUACAUAUGUAAUAUCUCCUGAGCAUGAGGGUUAGGAUUUAUUUUUCUUCCAGUGGCUUAAUUUCCUCAAGUGGCAGCAAAUACUUCUUAAGUGUGCUCAACUUUUUUCCUUCCCACAUGCCUAGUGUGUCCUUGAAAAAUCACAGCUUAUUUUGGUCAUUAAAUGUAUAAUAUUUACUUAUUGUUGACAUUUUACAUGCUUGUACAAAGGAUGAGUUUUUUUUCUUAUAUAAUGAUGAGACAUGAAAUGAGAACUGGUUAAGUAUAAUUCUGCAAAUAAAUGAUUCAAAUUUAAUUU
RNAcentral lists this long non-coding RNA (397 nucleotides) under Bos taurus (domestic cattle). RNAcentral's name for it is "long non-coding RNA NONBTAT015168". Lineage: Eukaryota; Metazoa; Chordata; Mammalia; Artiodactyla; Bovidae. The record is from RNAcentral.